Molecule: unclassified non-coding RNA, 245 nt
Filed under: Hevea brasiliensis (rubber tree)
Lineage: Eukaryota; Viridiplantae; Streptophyta; Magnoliopsida; Malpighiales; Euphorbiaceae
Source: RNAcentral
CGGCUGCGAGCUCCCACCGGCACUCCAGGUGCGUUCCGCCGGGGACGAGAAACCAAUGACAUGCCAAGGCGUGGUGUGGACGCAGGCCCGAGCCCUCCGGGUGGCGAAAACCCGGCCGGUUGUCAUUGGACUGGANNNCGAACGGGUUCGCCCAGCGGCGUCUUCAGCCACUGCGCAAUACUCCGGAAUUUUGCGAGUCUUUCGAACAUCGCUCACCUCCACUUCCGCGUUCCGCGGCAGGCUGG